RNAcentral lists this transfer RNA (77 nucleotides) under Bacillota bacterium. RNAcentral describes it as "Firmicutes bacterium (gut metagenome) tRNA-Pro". It matches the Rfam family "tRNA". From Rfam's summary of the family: Transfer RNA (tRNA) molecules are approximately 80 nucleotides in length. Their secondary structure includes four short double-helical elements and three loops (D, anti-codon, and T loops). Lineage: Bacteria; Bacillati; Bacillota. The record is from RNAcentral. RNAcentral also lists the same sequence under 2 other names.
CGAGGCGUAGCGCAGUUUGGUAGCGCGCUUGGUUCGGGACCAAGAGGUCGUGGGUUCAAAUCCCGUCGCCUCGACCA